AUUGAACGCUGGCGGCAUGCCUUACACAUGCAAGUCAACGGCAGCACGGGAGCAAUCCUGGUGCGAGUGGCGAACGGGUGAGUAAUAUAUCGGAACGUGCCCAGUCGUGGGGGAUAACGUAGCGAAAGCUACGCUAAUACCGCAUACGAUCUAUGGAUGAAAGCGGGGGAUCGCAAGACCUCGCGCGAUUGGAGCGGCCGAUAUCAGAUUAGGUAGUUGGUGAGGUAAAGGCUCACCAAGCCGACGAUCUGUAGCUGGUCUGAGAGGACGACCAGCCACACUGGGACUGAGACACGGCCCAGACUCCUACGGGAGGCAGCAGUGGGGAAUUUUGGACAAUGGGCGCAAGCCUGAUCCAGCAAUGCCGCGUGCAGGAUGAAGGCCUUCGGGUUGUAAACUGCUUUUGUACGGAACGAAACGGUGAGCUCUAAUACAGUUUGCUAAUGACGGUACCGUAAGAAUAAGCACCGGCUAACUACGUG
RNAcentral lists this ribosomal RNA (482 nucleotides) under uncultured bacterium. RNAcentral's name for it is "bacterial SSU rRNA". It matches the Rfam family "Bacterial small subunit ribosomal RNA", at positions 30 to 507 of the family's 1533-position model. The record is from RNAcentral.